This 73-nucleotide transfer RNA is filed under the name Mycolicibacterium bacteremicum. RNAcentral describes it as "tRNA-Arg". It matches the Rfam family "tRNA". Rfam says of the family: Transfer RNA (tRNA) molecules are approximately 80 nucleotides in length. Their secondary structure includes four short double-helical elements and three loops (D, anti-codon, and T loops). Lineage: Bacteria; Bacillati; Actinomycetota; Actinomycetes; Mycobacteriales; Mycobacteriaceae. The record is from RNAcentral.
GCCCCCGUGGCGCAAUGGAUAGCGCAGUCGGUUUCUACCCGAUAGGUUGCAGGUUCGAGUCCUGUCGGGGGUA